GACGAACGCUGGCGGCGUGCUUAACACAUGCAAGUCGAACGGAAAGGCCCUGCUUUUGUGGGGUGCUCGAGUGGCGAACGGGUGAGUAACACGUGAGUAACCUGCCCUUGACUUUGGGAUAACUUCAGGAAACUGGGGCUAAUACCGGAUAGGAGCUCCUGCUGCAUGGUGGGGGUUGGAAAGUUUCGGCGGUUGGGGAUGGACUCGCGGCUUAUCAGCUUGUUGGUGGGGUAGUGGCUUACCAAGGCUUUGGCGGGUAGCCGGCCUGAGAGGGUGACCAGCCACAUUGGGACUGAGAUACGGCCCAGACUCCUACGGGAGGCAGCAGUGGGGAAUAUUGCACAAUGGGCGGAAGCCUGAUGCAGCAACGCCGCGUGCGGGAUGACGGCCUUCGGGUUGUAAACCGCUUUCGCCUGUGACGAAGCGUGAGUGACGGUAAUGGGUAAAGAAGCACCGGCUAACUACGUG
RNAcentral lists this ribosomal RNA (468 nucleotides) under uncultured bacterium. RNAcentral's name for it is "partial 16S ribosomal RNA". It matches the Rfam family "Bacterial small subunit ribosomal RNA", at positions 28 to 507 of the family's 1533-position model. The record is from RNAcentral.